ACGCAAUCGAAGAGAUUGAGUAGCGUACGGGUGAGUAAAGUAAAAGUAGAAAAAAGUGAUAGUAAGGAGAAAAAUACCUUAUAAUAGUAAAGAUUAAAUCGCUAUGGACAGGGAGCUUUUAUAGUAUUAGGUAGUUGUAGAGUUAAAAGCUCUCCAAGCCAAUGAUGCUUAGCUGAAUUGAGAGAUUGAUCAGUCACACUGGGAUUGAAAGAAGGCCCAGACUCCCACGGGAGGCAGCAGUAGAGAAUAUUGGACAAUGAGCGAAAGCUUGAUCCAGCAAUAUCGUAUGAGUGAAGAAGAGAAAAUUGUAAAACUAGAAAGUCAAAGAGAAUGAUGAUGUUAAUUGACAGUUAAGUCCUGGCUAAUUUCGUGCCAGCAGCCGCGGUAAAACGGGGAGGACAAGUGUUACUCGUCAUGAUUGGGCGUAAAGAGUACGUAGGCGGAUUAAUAAGUUAUUUAAAAAAAGAUUAGAGAAAAUCGAUAAGGAAUAAAUAAAACUGUUAACGAGAGUGGACUAUGAGAAUAGUGAAUCUAGAGUAUAGAAGAGGAAGAUGGAACUACUGAAGGAGAGGUGGAAUUUUGAGAGAUCAGUAGGACGACCGAGAGCGAAGGCAAUUUUCUGGGCUAUACUGACGUUGAGGUACGAAGGUAUGAGUAGCAAGCAGGAUUAGAUACCCUGUUAGUUCAUACAGUAAACGAUGAAUGUUAUAUUUUGGGAAGAGAAAUUCUCAUUUUAUCAGCUAACGCGUUAAACAUUCCGCCUGGGGACUACGAUCGCAAGGUUGAAACUCAAAGGAAUUGACGGAGGCUUAUACAAGCGGUGGAACAUGUGGUUUAAUUCGAGACAACGCGAAAAAUCUUACCAGUUAUUGUAUAUAGAAUAAAUUUUAUUGAAAAAGGAUAGAAAGAGCGACUUCGUAAAGAAA
RNAcentral lists this ribosomal RNA (926 nucleotides) under uncultured bacterium. Its description in RNAcentral is "bacterial SSU rRNA". It matches the Rfam family "Bacterial small subunit ribosomal RNA", at positions 76 to 1041 of the family's 1533-position model. The record is from RNAcentral.